UAAGGAGGGGGUUAGCGUGGUUCGGAAUUACUGGGCGUAAAGCGCGCGUAGGCGGAUUGGAAAGUUGGGGGUGAAAUCCCAGGGCUCAACCCCGGAACUGCCUCCAAAACUAUCAGUCUGGAGUUCGAGAGAGGCGAGUGGAAGUCCGAGUGUAGAGGUGAAAUUCGUAGAUAUUCGGAGGAACACCAGUGGCGAAGGCGGCUCACUGGCUCGAUACUGACGCUGAGGUGCGAAAGCGUGGGGAGCAAACAGG
Molecule: unclassified non-coding RNA, 253 nt
Filed under: uncultured Rhodobacterales bacterium
Lineage: Bacteria; Pseudomonadati; Pseudomonadota; Alphaproteobacteria; Rhodobacterales
Description: contains 16S-23S intergenic spacer region
Rfam family: Bacterial small subunit ribosomal RNA
Source: RNAcentral